This 256-nucleotide unclassified non-coding RNA is filed under the name uncultured fungus. Its description in RNAcentral is "partial contains 5.8S ribosomal RNA, internal transcribed spacer 2, and large subunit ribosomal RNA". The record is from RNAcentral. Lineage: Eukaryota; Fungi.
AACGCAUAUUGCGCCCUUUGGCAUUCCGAAGGGCAUGCCUGUUCGAGCGUCAUUAUCACCUCUCAAGCCUGGCUUGCAGUUGGAUUCUAGGGUAAGGCUGUGAUGCCUCGCCGGUCCUAAAGAUAACGACGGCGUCUGAAUGACCCCAGUACACUGAGCUCUUGUAGCACGUACUCGGGCGGAGUUCCGACCCGGUCUCGCCUUUAUUUCUUCUAAGGUUGACCUCGGAUCAGGUAGGGAUACCCGCUGAACUUAA